Grammomys surdaster is the source of this 192-nucleotide long non-coding RNA. RefSeq lists it as uncharacterized. The transcript is spliced from 2 exons. NCBI's taxonomy places the organism in Eukaryota, Metazoa, Chordata, Mammalia, Rodentia, Muridae. The record is from RefSeq and is a predicted model, not a curated record.
CUGUGAACACAAUUUUUUUUUCUUGCAGCUUGCAGAAUUUCAGCCUCUUAUAGAGGAGCCCAAGAAUGUGGUAAAAUCUAACUGUGAGCUUUAUGAGAAGCUUGGAGAGUAUGGAUUCCAAAACGCCAUUCUGAUUCGGUAUACCCAGAAAGCACCUCAGGUGUCAACCCCAACUCUUGUGGAGGCUGCAAG